Non-coding RNA from Galeopterus variegatus (Sunda flying lemur), 444 nucleotides. The record is from the annotation of a RefSeq genome assembly. Lineage: Eukaryota; Metazoa; Chordata; Mammalia; Dermoptera; Cynocephalidae.
AGUGAAUCACAUUUCGCCCAGAAAAAUACACCUAGGAACUGAAGGAUGAAGAAGUGUCCACAAGCUUCACUAGUGAUCUUUUGGCUUCAACUGAGCUGGGCGAGCAGUGAAGACAAAGUGGUACAGAGCCCCCCAUCUCUGGUUGUGCAUGAGGGAGACAGUGCAAUUCUCAACUGCAGUUAUGAAGUGACGAACUUUCAAAGCCUACAGUGGUACAAGCAGGAAGAGAAAGCUCCUACAUUCCUGUUUACACUAAUUUCAAGUGGGAAUGAGAAGAAGUCAGGAAGCUUAAGUAGCACAUUAGAUAAGGAAAAACUUCUCAGCACCCUGAACAUCACAGCCACCCAGCCCGGAGACUCAGCCACCUACCUCUGUGCUGUGGAGGCACAGUGCUCCCUCGUCACCUGCAGCCUGUACCAAAUCAUACCGUUAAGGCGCUGCUAA